AGCAGAAGAGGAGAGGAGGUUGUGUAGGACAAGCUGCUCCCGACAGAAGGAUGUCGCUGCUGAGCCUGCCCUGGCUGGGCCUCAGACCGGUGGCAACGUCCCCAUGGCUACUCCUGCUGCUGGUUGUGGGCUCCUGGCUACUCGCCCGUGUCCUGGCUUGGACCUAUGCCUUCUAUAACAACUGCCGUCGGCUCCAGUGUUUCCCACAGCCCCCAAAACGGAACUGGUUUUGGGGUCACCUGGGCCUGAUCACUCCUACAGAGGAGGGCUUGAAGAACUCGACCCAGAUGUCGGCCACCUAUUCCCAGGGCUUUACGCUGCCAUUGCGCCCAAGGAUGAUCUCUCCAUCAGGUUCCUGAAGCCCUGGCUGGGUGAGUACCUGCAGGUGAAAGGGGUUGGGGACAACCUUGCAGGGAGGGUGGGGGAAGUGCUGCUCUUGCCCACUGUCCUUGGCUGCCCUACUAGGAGAAGGGAUACUGCUGAGUGGCGGUGACAAGUGGAGCCGCCACCGUCGGAUGCUGACGCCCGCCUUCCAUUUCAACAUCCUGAAGUCCUAUAUAACGAUCUUCAACAAGAGUGCAAACAUCAUGCUUGUGAG
Molecule: small RNA, 598 nt
Filed under: Pongo abelii (Sumatran orangutan)
Lineage: Eukaryota; Metazoa; Chordata; Mammalia; Primates; Hominidae
Description: retained intron
Source: RNAcentral